GGUGGCUCAGUGGUAGAGUGCUUGCCUUGCAUGCAUGAGGGCCUAGGUUCAAUUCCUCAGCACCA
This 65-nucleotide transfer RNA is filed under the name Dipodomys ordii (Ord's kangaroo rat). It matches the Rfam family "tRNA". Rfam says of the family: Transfer RNA (tRNA) molecules are approximately 80 nucleotides in length. Their secondary structure includes four short double-helical elements and three loops (D, anti-codon, and T loops). The record is from Rfam by way of RNAcentral. Lineage: Eukaryota; Metazoa; Chordata; Mammalia; Rodentia; Heteromyidae.